GAAGGAAGGAAAGGGACGCCGCGUCGGCGCUCUAACACCCAAACGACGAGAAAAUCCCAGCGAGGAGGAGGAGAAGCGAUUGGCGAAAGGGAAACCGAGUUGGGGAGGGCGGGAGAGAAACGAGGAGGGAGAAAGAGGCGGGUUAUGACUACUCUCCCUCCCUCUCUCUCCCUUUCUCUCUCUUUUGGACUUCUCCAAAAGCAGCGCCCAGAAACCGCCAAGCAGGGCUGGCUGGCGCGCGCAUCCUCUCUCAUCUCUCUCUCUCUCCUUUUUCUCUUUUUCUCCAUUCUCUCUCUCUUUCGCGUUGCUCCAGCUCCUCCCUCGUGUGGUUGUGGCUUUUCUUCAUUCCCUUUUCCCAUCAAAAAGCCCGAUCUUUUGGAGGGAAAAAACGGGGGGAAAGAAAUCCGAAAGGAAGCGAAGAAAGCUCUCGGGAGGGGAAAAAAAAAAAACUUCUUUGGAGUUAUCGCUGCCUCGUGCCUCUCUCCAUUGGGUCCACAAGAGAAAAAUCUAUCUCCGCUGUUCUCCCGCAGCCUUGCUCUGUCUUUCUUCUCUUUUUUGACACAUACACAAGUCUUUCAACGGCGUCGAGGGCGAUGGGAAAAGUUGCGGGCUGGACGUGGCUGGUGCUGAUGCUCCCGUUUGGCUUCAUCGGGGCGGAGAUCACUUGCCAGGCUUGCCAAGGGCAAGGGCAACACCGGCUCCAGCCAGGAUUAUUGCUGCGCUUGAGGGCGAGGAACCCAGAGGAGGUCAAGGAGGGCGCCUCGGGUCGGCUCUUCUUGGCCGCUUUGGGGGAGAAGCCUCUCUCCUUGGAAGGCGGGCAGCCGGACCCUCUUUCUCCUCUCCCCCGCGGACCCGGGACCUCCGCUUCCGCCUCCCUCUCGUCUCCGCUCGGCCUCCCGCUCCCGAAUCAGGCGGCGCGGAGGCGGAGGCGGCAAAGCCGGAAAGCCCGAGACGCCCAGCCGCCGGAGAGCCGCCCGGAGCCCGCCACCCGUUUCCGACCCGAGGAGCUCAAGCUGACCAGCACCACCUUCGCCCUCACCGGAGACUCGGCCCACAACCAAGCCAUGGUCCACUGGUCCGGACACAACAGCAGCGUGAUAUUAAUUCUGACAAAGCUGUAUGACUACAACCUGGGGAGUAUCACGGAGAGCUCAUUGUGGAGGUCAACAGACUAUGGGACCACCUAUGAAAAGCUAAAUGACAAAGUGGGUCUGAAGACCAUUCUGAGUUACCUCUAUGUUUGUCCAACUAAUAAGCGUAAGAUUAUGUUGCUUACUGACCCAGAAAUUGAGAGUAGUCUUCUGAUCAGUUCGGAUGAAGGAGCCACCUAUCAAAAAUACCGGCUGAACUUCUACAUCCACAGCAUGCUCUUCCAUCCAAAGCAGGAAGAUUGGAUUCUAGCCUACAGUCAGGAUCAGAAGUUGUACAGCUCUGUAGAAUUUGGAAGAAGAUGGCUGCUCCUCCAGGAAACUGUAACGCCAAACAGAUUCUACUGGUCUAGGAUGGGGACCAGUAAAGAACCAGACAUAGUCCACUUGGAGACAAAAACAGUGGAUGGUCAUGCACAGUACAUCACCUGCAGGAUGCAGAACUGCUCUGAAGCUGUAAGAAGUAAACCUUUCCCAGGAUACAUUGACUCUGACUCCCUCAUUGUCCAGGAUGAUUAUGUGUUUGUUCAGCUGACAUCAGGAGGCCGGCCUCAUUACUACGUGUCCUAUCGGAGAAAUGCGUUUUCGCAAAUGAAGUUUCCCAAAUAUGCCUUGCCAAAGGACAUGCACGUUAUCAGCACGGAUGAGAAUCAAGUAUUUGCUGCAGUUCAGGAAUGGAACCAGAAUGAUACAUACAACCUUUACAUCUCUGACACCCGAGGGGUCUACUUUACCCUAGCCUUGGAAAAUGUCAAGAGCAGCCGAGACCUGGAGGGCAAUAUAAUGAUAGAUCUCUAUGAGGUAGCAGGCAUAAAGGGAAUGUUCUUGGCUAACAAGAAGAUUGACAACCAAGUGAAAACUUUCAUUACCUACAAUAAAGGGAGAGAUUGGCAUUUGCUGCAGGCCCCUGACACGGAUCUGAGAGGAAACCCAGUUCAUUGCCUCCUGCCCUAUUGUUCCCUACAUCUCCACCUGAAGGUUUCAGAGAACCCAUACACUUCAGGCAACAUUGCCAGUCGGGAUACAGCUCCUGGGAUCAUUGUGGCCUCUGGUAACAUUGGAACAGAGUUGUCAGACCAAGAUAUCAGCAUGUUUGUUUCAUCUGAUGCAGGAAACACUUGGAGACAAAUCUUUGAAGAAGAGCACAGCGUUCUUUAUCUGGAUCAAGGUGGGGUUUUGGUUGCCAUGAAACAUACAUCUCUGCCUAUCAGACAUCUCUGGUUAAGUUUUGAUGAAGGAAGGUCUUGGAGCAAGUACAGCUUCACUUCUAUCCCACUUUUUGUUGAUGGGGUCCUGGGAGAACCUGGAGAAGAGACCUUAAUAAUGACGGUUUUUGGGCAUUUCAGCCAUCGCUCAGAGUGGCAGCUGGUAAAAGUAGACUACAAGUCUAUUUUUGACAGACGGUGUGCUGAUGAUGACUACCGGCCAUGGCAACUUCAUAGCCAGGGAGAGGCAUGCAUCAUGGGGGCAAAAAGAAUCUACAAGAAACGCAAGUCAGAAAAGAAAUGUAUGCAGGGCAAGUAUGCCGGUGCUAUGGCAUCUGAACCAUGUGUUUGUACAGAGGCAGAUUUUGACUGUGACUAUGGAUUUGAACGUCACAGCAAUGGCCAGUGUUUGCCUGCAUUUUGGUAUAACCCAUCAACAUUGUCGAAAGACUGCAGUAUUGGUCAAAGUUACCUCAAUAGCACUGGGUAUAGAAAGGUUGUAUCUAAUAACUGCACAGAUGGUGUGCGUGAGCAGUAUACAGCCAAGCCUCAGCAGUGUCCUGGCAAGGCCCCAAGAGGGCUUCGAGUUGUCACUUCGGAAGGCACAUUGACAUCGGAACAAGGGCACAAUGUUACAUUUCUGAUGCAGCUGGAAGAGGGGGACAUUCAAAGAUCAAUAAUCCGGAUAGAUUUUGGAGAUGGGAGUGCUGUGUCAUAUGCUAAUCUCAGCUCAACAGAAGAUGGAAUCAAACACAUCUACCAGAAUGUGGGGAUUUUCCGAGUAACAGCACAGGUGGAAAACAGUCUGGGAGCUGACAGUGCUGUCCUGUACUUGCAUGUAAAUUGCCCUUUGGAACAUGUCCAUUUAUCACUGCCAUUUGUAACAACAAAGAACAAAGAAAUUAAUGCCACAGCAGUUCUGUGGCCCAGUCAAGUUGGAACACUAACUUACAUCUGGUGGUUUGGAAACAACACUGAGCCACUGAUUACUCUAGAAGGGAACAUCGCAUUUACUUUCUCUGCAGAAGGAAUGAACACCAUCACAGUGCAGGUUUCUGCAGGAAACGCAAUUCUGCAAGACACCAAAACAAUUGCAGUGUAUGAGCAAUUCCGAUCGUUAAGGUUAUCCUUCUCCCCAAACCUGGAUGAAUAUAAUCCAGACAUUCCUGAAUGGAGACGGGAUGUUAGUCGCAUCAUCAAGACAGCUCUAGUUGAGGCAACAGGUAUUCCCAACAAGCAUAUCUUGGUGGCAAUCCUGCCAGGUUUACCUACAUCAGCUGAGCUCUUUAUAUUGCCUUAUAAUGACGCAACAGGAGGAAAUAGACAAACAGCAGAAGAUCUCCAGCAGAUUUCAGAAGUUUUGGCUCAGAAAUUGAACCAAAACUCCAUCCAAUUUGACUUGAAACCUGGUGUUAGAAUCUUUGUCCACGCUGCCCAUUUAACAGCAGCUCCACUCAUAGAUGUCACACCUAGCCACAGUGGUUCAGCUAUGCUGAUGCUGCUAUCCGUGGUAUUUGUGGGAUUAGCAGUAUUUGUAAUCUACAAAUUCAAAAGGAAGAUUCCUGGCAUUAAUGUUUAUGCAAAGAUGCAGAAUGAGAAAGAUCAAGAGAUGGUCAGUCCAGGCAGUCAAAAUGAAAGCAUGCCUAAUGUCCCUCAAAGGGAGCUGAUGACCCCAGAGCAACUAGUAGAUGAGAAGUUGGAGACCCGGUCCAUAGGGUUGCCAGAUUUCCAAAGACCAAUUCUUGUACACAAGAGGCUAUUGGGAGGAAAAUUUCCUGGACAUCCUGGACGCCAACCAACGAGCGUGACCAGACAGCCAAGGACUGCCCAGGGUCCAGAACCAGACAGUGCAUAGACUGUUGCCCUGCCGAUGAGCAUGAUGGUGGUCAGAUGUAUGAGGAGCGCUCGCCAAGCGCAGGAAGUAUUUCCACAGUUGCUGAACCUCAAAGCACAAAAGAAAUCCCCACUUGUAUAAAUGUUUGAAACAAGGACACCGAUCAGUCUCUAUCCCCUUUACCCUUAAAUAUAAAUAUAUAUAUGUAUAAAGAAAGAAAGAAACCAACUGCUUUUGGACUUUUUGAUUAUUCUGAUGACAAAAGGGUUUUUAGCUUUAAACCUGUGCAUGUGGAUGUCAUUUGGAUAACAUAUUUGGAACUGCAGUGUACAGGUACUCUAUUUUAAUGGAGUAAAAGGAAAAGGGAAAAAUAUCCUCUUAAUCCUCUUCUCUCUUCUUUUCUAAUCAAGGUUUAAUUUGUAGAUGAUUCAUACUGAUAUAGGCCAAGAAUGUGCAUGGGGAAUUUGGGGGAGGGCAUGAAGUGGGGUAAAGGUUAUUGACUUUUCCAGCAUCAUUUUUGUGCUUUUAGCACAACAGGAUUGUAGGAGGAUUUGUCACUAAAGCCUACAUUCCAAAAAUACAUCCAAGAACUGCCCUCAAGUUUAAAGGCAUCACAAUGUUCUCAUGGGUUUUGCUCUCUUGCCAUUUUAUUGUUUGUUUAUCUCUUUUGUCUACAAUAACUGCUCUAACUUCUUCAGAUAUAGAGUAAGUCCCCAAAGCAGCUCAGGUUCCUUUCGUAAUAGAGUAUUAUACAGAGGUAUAACCCAUCUUUUUAGUACAAUGAAGAAAUAGUUCCCCUCACAGUCACAUGUAUGAAAGCAUAGCUACACUAUUUUAUGUCUGCUCUUAGAAGAUACCAUCGGUAUGAAACAUUUCAUUGUCUGUUAUUUUGUGGAACCCUUUUGAGGAAGGAAAGGAUAUGUUCUUUAGCCACACUCAGUAAUGACAUCCACAGAUUCAAGCUGUUUUUCCAAUAUCCAAAUAAUUUUGUUCUAACAAUAGUAUUUAAGAUGGGGAAAAGUGGUUCAGCAGAAAUGCAUAUUUUCAUUAAUGCAUAUUUUCUGUAUUCAUCCUGGCCCAUGGAGGCACUUGGUGGAGCAGUGUGAUGGUUGGGGUCACUUCUCACCUUCUAGCCUCUUAACAUAAUUUCUGCCACCACACCUAGUCACAAUUAUAUAGAACUGGCAACACUUGGCAGUUGUCAUAAUGCUAAAACAUAUCAGGGAUGUGACUAGAAUUCUAAAGAUUGCUUUCUAUUUUUUUCACAUGAAAUAAAUGAAUUUUUGACCCAAUCUAAUAAACUCCAAGAAAGUUUAUAUCUUAAUCUUUAGAAAUCCUCUGCGAUUUUUGCUACAAAAUUUGGCAUCACUUAUGUCUAUAGUUGUAGUAUUCAAGAUGAUGGGAACUUAGUCUGAUCACUGUAUAGUAAACCUCACAGUUCUAAUAGGCCAUAGAAGUCCAAUAUUAGUGAAGUUAUUUUUAUAGGUCAAUUUGAAUGUUUUCUUUUUCUUAUAACGUUGGACCGACAGCUAAUUUUAAAAUGACUUUUUGAUGUAAUUUUUUCCCUCUUGGUUGAUUACAAUGUAGUGUAAUGUAUAAUUGCUAUUGUUUAUUGCUUUUACAGUCAUAUUUAUUAAACAGAUUCUGUCUCUAAAGGAA
Molecule: RNA transcript, 5846 nt
Organism: Anolis sagrei ordinatus
Lineage: Eukaryota; Metazoa; Chordata; Lepidosauria; Squamata; Anolidae
Gene: SORCS1
Gene name: sortilin related VPS10 domain containing receptor 1
Source: RefSeq, a predicted model, not a curated record